AUGAACGCUGGCGGCGUGCCUAAUACCUGCAAGUCGAGCGAACAGACGAGGAGCUUGCUCCUCUGACGUUAGCGGCGGACGGGUGAGUAACACGUGGAUAACCUACCUAUAAGACUGGGAUAACUUCGGGAAACCGGAGCUAAUACCGGAUAAUAUAUUGAACCGCAUGGUUCAAUAGUGAAAGACGGUUUUGCUGUCACUUAUAGAUGGAUCCGCGCCGCAUUAGCUAGUUGGUAAGGUAACGGCUUACCAAGGCAACGAUGCGUAGCCGACCUGAGAGGGUGAUCGGCCACACUGGAACUGAGACACGGUCCAGACUCCUACGGGAGGCAGCAGUAGGGAAUCUUCCGCAAUGGGCGAAAGCUUGUCGGAGCAACGCCGCGUGAGUGAUGAAGGUCUUCGGAUCGUAAAACUCUGUUAUUAGGGAAGAACAAAUGUGUAAGUAACUAUGCACGUCUUGACGGUACCUAAUCAGAAAGCCACGGCUAACUACGUG
Molecule: ribosomal RNA, 496 nt
Filed under: uncultured bacterium
Lineage: Bacteria
Description: partial 16S ribosomal RNA
Rfam family: Bacterial small subunit ribosomal RNA
Source: RNAcentral